RNAcentral lists this ribosomal RNA (253 nucleotides) under uncultured bacterium. RNAcentral describes it as "partial 16S ribosomal RNA". It matches the Rfam family "Bacterial small subunit ribosomal RNA", at positions 524 to 776 of the family's 1533-position model. The record is from RNAcentral.
UACGUAGGGCGCAAGCGUUGUCCGGAAUUAUUGGGCGUAAAGAGCUCGUAGGUGGUGUGUCGCGUCUGCCGUGAAAGCCCGGGGCUUAACCCCGGGUCUGCAGUGGAUACGGGCAGGCUAGAGGUAGGUAGGGGAGAAUGGAAUUCCCGGUGUAGCGGUGAAAUGCGCAGAUAUCGGGAGGAACACCGGUGGCGAAGGCGGUUCUCUGGGCCUGUGCUGACGCUGAGGAGCGAAAGCGUGGGGAGCGAACAGG